UCUUCCGCAAUGGACGAAAGUCUGACGGAGCAACGCCGCGUGAGUGAUGAAGGUUUUCGGAUCGUAAAACUCUGUUGUUAGGGAAGAACAAGUACCGGUCGAAUAGGGCGGUACCUUGACGGUACCUAACCAGAAAGCCACGGCUAACUACGUGCCAGCAGCCGCGGUAAUACGUAGGUGGCAAGCGUUGUCCGGAAUUAUUGGGCGUAAAGAGCGCGCAGGCGGUUUCUUUAGUCUGGUGGGAAAGCCCCCGGCUAAACCGGGGAGGGUCAUUGGAAACUGAGGAACUUGAGUGCAGAAGAGGAGAGUGGAAUUCAACGUGUAGCGGUGAAAUGCGUAGAGAUGUGGAGGAACACCAGUGGCGAAGGCGACUCUCUGGUCUGUAACUGACGCUGAGGCGCGAAAGCGUGGGGAGCGAACAG
RNAcentral lists this ribosomal RNA (422 nucleotides) under uncultured bacterium. RNAcentral's name for it is "bacterial SSU rRNA". It matches the Rfam family "Bacterial small subunit ribosomal RNA", at positions 362 to 775 of the family's 1533-position model. The record is from RNAcentral.